CUAGUACUCCCUCCGUCCGGAAAUACUUGUCGGAGAAAUACAGAAAAAUGAAUAUAUCUAGAAUUAAGUACGUCUAGAUACAUCCAUUCUGUCGACGAGUAUUUCCGGAUAGAGGGAGUACUUU
Triticum aestivum (bread wheat) is the source of this 124-nucleotide non-coding RNA. NCBI's taxonomy places the organism in Eukaryota, Viridiplantae, Streptophyta, Magnoliopsida, Poales, Poaceae. The record is from Rfam.